This 349-nucleotide ribosomal RNA is filed under the name uncultured bacterium. RNAcentral describes it as "bacterial SSU rRNA". It matches the Rfam family "Bacterial small subunit ribosomal RNA", at positions 32 to 361 of the family's 1533-position model. The record is from RNAcentral.
AAUCAACGCUGGCGGCGUGCCUCAGACAUGCAAGUCGAACGCGAAAUCCCGAGCAAUCGGGAGAGUAGAGUGGCGCACGGGUGAGUAACACGUAGGUAAUCUACCUUCGGAUGGGGAAUAACAACCGGAAACGGUUGCUAAUACCGCAUAAUGCAGCGGCACCUAAUGGUGACAGUUGUUAAAGCGGGGAUCGAAAGACCUCGCGUCUGAAGAGGAGCCUGCGGCGGAUUAGCUAGUUGGUAAGGUAAUGGCUUACCAAGGCAACGAUCCGUAACCGGCCUGAGAGGGCGGUCGGUCACACUGACACUGACAUACGGGUCAGACUCCUACGGGAGGCAGCAGUCGGGAA